AACGAACGCUGGCGGCGUGGAUUAGGCAUGCAAGUCGAACGAGAAAAGUUUCUUCGGAAACUGAGUACAGUGGCAAACGGGUGAGUAGCGCGUGAGAAACCUACCUUUCAGUUGGGGACAACACUUCUAACGAGGUGCUAAUACCGAAUACCAUCAUUCCCCCGCAUGAGGGAGUGAUGAAAGGACGGCCUCUGCUUGCAAGCUGUCGCUGAAAGAAUGGUCUCGCGUCCCAUUAGCUAGUUGGUGGGGUAAGUGGCCCACCAAGGCGAUGAUGGGUAGCCGGCCUUAGCGGGUGUCCGGCCACACUGGGACUGAGAUACGGCCCAGACUCCUACGGGUGGCUG
Molecule: ribosomal RNA, 344 nt
Filed under: uncultured Latescibacterota bacterium
Lineage: Bacteria; Pseudomonadati; Candidatus Latescibacterota
Description: bacterial SSU rRNA
Rfam family: Bacterial small subunit ribosomal RNA
Source: RNAcentral